Chinchilla lanigera (long-tailed chinchilla) is the source of this 1446-nucleotide long non-coding RNA. RefSeq lists it as uncharacterized. The record is from RefSeq and is a predicted model, not a curated record. The transcript has 4 exons. NCBI's taxonomy places the organism in Eukaryota, Metazoa, Chordata, Mammalia, Rodentia, Chinchillidae.
UCUGUAGAGACAAGGGCAAGACCAGGCAGUGCACAGGGAGGAAACGCUUGGGCCGCCGCCACCCCCUGUAUCCGGGCCCCCAGACACCUCUUAGAUAACGAUUUGUCCAAUAGCUGAAGUGAGCCAAAAAGUUCCCUUCCUGGGUGUACACCUCCUAGCAGUCCUCUGCUGUCUGACAAAGGAGUGUCCUAACAGUGGCGAGCAGGAGCACUUGCCACGCACAGCGCCGUUCCAGGGCUGGGGCCCAGGCGGAAGAAAGCUGGAGUUUGUGGUUGGAGCAACAUGGUUUGGGGGGAACGGUGCUGAAAACCUGGUCCCCCAAAGCUAUCGGUACUGAGAAGUGGGACCUUCUGGGAGCCUUGUUAUACAAAGCCAACCUUAAGAUGACUCCUCAUUCCACUGAAUUAAUUCAACACUGCAAAACUAACUCCAAGAGAUCGGCAAGGAUAUCUCAUGGCUUGGAAAAUGUGUGUACAAGGGUGGUUCUCUGACACAACUGGGAAAUGUUACCUCAGUACGGCUUUUUAGGGUAGCAAAUCCCUCAGAGCUAACAUUUGUCUGCCUUCUGACAAUGCCAUCAUUAUAACCUCUCUGCAACAGAAAGUUCCAGGCCUUCCGCAAUAUUGGAAACAUUCCACGAUUCCUUCAGUGACGUAGGACUGCUCCCUCCUUGCUGAGAUCCAAAGUGAAUGACGUCUAUAUACAGAGGGAGAAAAGAGAUCAUCAUUUUUAAAGCACAUGCUUUUUGCUAGUGGAUUUCUUAAGUCACCCUGAAAGCCACACGCUUGCUAGACCGCAACAGGGCUCCAGGGCAGAAGCACAGGCCUCUGUCUGAGAAAGAGGCAGGGAUGAUGUCAUCCUCAGCUGUCAAGGACCGUGGGGAUUACGAAACUUGAAGUGGGAUUUGGAAGUCUCUGGUGCUGUGAAUAUAGGGGCAGCUGGCGACCUCUUCACCUGGGCAGAAACACCCUGCUCCUCCCCUCCUGCUGCAGUAACUACCUUCUUGGCUCGGACUGUGACAGGUUAGUUUGGGUCACUUUUUCCACUCUAAGUUUCAAGAGGUUUUACUGUUGAUCUUAACAUUUUUUCCACUUUUAUUCAAAUCUUUUUGACAUGAUUUCAUGUCAUGAACAAUCUUAAGUGUGGAGGGAUACAAAAUGAAUGGUGCACUUGGCAACUGCGGAGCUACAAUGGAGAAGCAAUUAAGGAGGCGGGGAGUGGGCUGCAGUCACUUAGGAACCCUUCAGCCCUCGGAGGGCUGCACAGCUGUGUUUGGAUUUCCUACUGACAUGUGACCACAGACUAACAAGCCUGCUGCGCAGGACACAUCAUCAUGAUGGACCCUCCUUCCGGAGUGUCCAGCAUGUGCAGGGCAUCCUAUUGGGUGUUGUGCAUAAUUUUAAGAAUAAAUGUAGCUUUGUUGCCACAAUCUAGUAAACUCUGUGC